AUAAAUUCAAAUACAAAGAAAGUAAGAAAACUCUCAUUCGAGUUUUCCAAUAAGUGUAGUCCGUCCCAUUCAAAAAAGGGAGGACAAAUGAGAGAGUGACCCUCUUGAAAGCCGUAAAGAGCCAUUUCUAUUUGGGUGUUAAACUAAGGUAGAAAAACGUGGCUCUGAUACCAAUUGUUAGGAUCGGAGCGGCACUAAGAGGGGGGGGGGGGGUGAAUUAGUGCAGC
This 227-nucleotide long non-coding RNA is filed under the name Musa acuminata (dwarf banana). Its description in RNAcentral is "long non-coding RNA (MACU_LNC007225)". The record is from RNAcentral. Lineage: Eukaryota; Viridiplantae; Streptophyta; Magnoliopsida; Zingiberales; Musaceae.